RNAcentral lists this ribosomal RNA (465 nucleotides) under Vreelandella stevensii. RNAcentral's name for it is "partial 16S ribosomal RNA". It matches the Rfam family "Bacterial small subunit ribosomal RNA", at positions 338 to 795 of the family's 1533-position model. Lineage: Bacteria; Pseudomonadati; Pseudomonadota; Gammaproteobacteria; Oceanospirillales; Halomonadaceae. The record is from RNAcentral.
CCUACGGGGGGCUGCAGUGGGGAAUAUUGGACAAUGGGGGGAACCCUGAUCCAGCCAUGCCGCGUGUGUGAAGAAGGCCCUCGGGUUGUAAAGCACUUUCAGUGAGGAAGAACGCCUGGUGGUUAAUACCCAUCAGGAAAGACAUCACUCACAGAAGAAGCACCGGCUAACUCCGUGCCAGCAGCCGCGGUAAUACGGAGGGUGCGAGCGUUAAUCGGAAUUACUGGGCGUAAAGCGCGCGUAGGUGGCUUGAUAAGCCGGUUGUGAAAGCCCCGGGCUCAACCUGGGAACGGCAUCCGGGACUGUCAAGCUAGAGUGCAGGAGAGGAAGGUAGAAUUCCCGGUGUAGCGGUGAAAUGCGUAGAGAUCGGGAGGAAUACCAGUGGCGAAGGCGGCCUUCUGGACUGACACUGACACUGAGGUGCGAAAGCGUGGGUAGCAAACAGGAUUAGAUACCCUAGUAGUC